RNAcentral lists this ribosomal RNA (459 nucleotides) under uncultured bacterium. Its description in RNAcentral is "partial 16S ribosomal RNA". It matches the Rfam family "Bacterial small subunit ribosomal RNA", at positions 338 to 795 of the family's 1533-position model. The record is from RNAcentral.
CCUACGGGAGGCAGCAGUGAGGAAUAUUGGUCAAUGGGCGCGAGCCUGAACCAGCCAAGUAGCGUGAAGGAUGACUGCCCUACGGGUUGUAAACUUCUUUUAUAAAGGAAUAAAGUGAGGCACGCGUGCCUUUUUGUGUGUACUUUACGAAUAAGUAUCGGCUAACUCCGUGCCAGCAGCCGCGGUAAUACGGAGGAUCCGAGGGUUAUCCGGAUUUAUUGGGUUUAAAGGGAGCGUAGAUGGGUUGUUAAGUCAGCGGUAAAAUUUAGGGGCUCAACCCGGGCCGGCCGUUGAAACUGGGGAGCUUGAGUGGGCGAGAAGUAUGCGGAAUGCGUGGUGUAGCGGUGAAAUGCAGAGAUAUCACGCAGAACUCCGAUUGCGAAGGCAGCAUACCGGCGCCCGACUGACGCUGAGGCACGAAAGCGUGGGGAUCGAACAGGAUUAGAUACCCGUGUAGUC